RNAcentral lists this long non-coding RNA (6309 nucleotides) under Marmota monax (woodchuck). The record is from RNAcentral. Lineage: Eukaryota; Metazoa; Chordata; Mammalia; Rodentia; Sciuridae.
CCUGGGCCACUCCAGAGGCCGAGGGUGGAGACUUGCUGAGCGUCUGCGUGUGCAGGGCACAGCUCCCCUGCAGGUCCUGGGUGGGGGUGAUUAAAAACGGUCCUCCCCACCUGGCCUUGGAGGGUGGGGCUCUGUGGUCACCCUGGUAAGUGCCCUGAGUCCCAGCACUGAGUGGAGAGUGGGCAGGCAGGGUGGCAGGGCCAGCCUUCUGGGAGGCCCUCACCUGGUCAACUCGCCCUUCUGGUCCUAGGUGGAUGAAGGACAUGGACACUUAGGAGGGGUGUGCCGGGAGGCAGUGUCCCCAGAGGAGGCUGCAGGAGGGACAGACGGGGACAUGAGACAACAUGGCCUGCUGCCCCAGGACUGGAGGCCUUGGAAGAAUCUGGCAAGAGGAGGAGCCCCGGCUGGGCUGGCGGCCCCAUGGCUGGUGCCGUGAGGUGGUUCCGCCAUGGGGCCCAGUGAGAGGAGGACCUCACAGGCAGAUAGCAGGUGUCUGGAGGAGGCCCUGCUCCCACAACAGCCCCUGGAAGUGGGCGCACUGGAGAUUCCGGGGGACACGUUGUCAAGCUCCCCAGAGCUUGGGCAGGAGCUGACCUGGCCUGGGGGCCACUCUUUCCAGUGCUUCAGUGACUUCCCAGGGACGUGGGCAGUACUCAUGCAUGCUCUCGGGGCCAUUUCCCAGAGAAAGAAGCUGCAUCGGCAGCACCGACAUUCUAAUGAAAGGCCACUCUGUUCUGGGACACCUUCGACAACAUCUUCGUGGAGUAAGGCCACAAAGAGAUUCUACAGUGAUCAAGAGACCCGAGGCCCAGGCCAGGCAUGACCUUUGCCUUGCCAUGGACGAGCUGAGCACUGGGGACGGGGUCUCUGCAGCUGUGGCAUCUGUCACCCCACAACUGGCAGAGCCCCCUCGCAGCCAGUGGCCACAGGCUGUGAGUGCAUGGGACACUCAGGGAGCCUGGGGCCCUGCGCGCUGUGGUCUGGGCUCCUGAUGGUUCAGAGUUCCGGUUGAGCCAGGGGUUGACGUCAUCGCUGUGUCCUCGCUGUCUGUGGCUCUGCUGUAACCGGGAUGUGGCUGGAGUCCCGGGAGCAGGAGCUGGAAGGUGGGUCCCAGUGUGGUGACGUGAGAGGUGGUGGGCCCUUAAGGGGGGCUUCGUGGGAGGUCAGGACCCUAAGUUAGUUUUCUGGAGAAGGUUUUUGCAAGACGCCCUGGCCUCCUGUCACAGCGGGUGACCUCUCUCACAGGCUCCUGCCAUGGUACCGUCUCCAUGGGGUGAUGCCCUUGCCAGCGCCUGUGCCCUGUUGUUUGGCUUCCCCAGCUGCGGGCUGAACGUGCCUCCUCUUUUGUGAGUCACUGGGCUCCAGGUAUCUCACUGUAGUAGUGGAAAUGGGCUGGGAUCUGACUCCUGGCCCAGCUCCGACUAGUCCUUCUAGUUAGCUGGACCAACUAGACUCUAAAAUAAAACCAGAGAUUUUAUAUCAGAGACCUGCCGAGACUCUGAGAAACAGUAACUCUAUGCUGAACACAUAGUAGGUGUUCAAAAGAGUGGUCACCCAUCUCCCUGUCCCAGUUCAAAAGCCUGUCCCCUAAGUUCAAAAGUCUGCAGAGGUGGCUUGGCUGAAACAAGAUGGGUCUAUCUUUGUGGCAAUGUAAGUAAUGCAGCUCUGAAGCCAGGUGACCUCUGCAACAGGGCCUGGCUCUGGGCAGGUGAAUGGGAGUUUCCGAGCAAUUCAACCCAAACAAGAUUGGACCGUGACAGCCACUGCGGCUGAUACCCCAGAGGCUGCUGCUGAUGGCUUCUCCCUUCCAGAUGCUGACAACAAGCCAGUGCUCUCCCCGGGGACUCGGAGGAAGACGAGGAGAGGAGCACAGGUGGGAAGCGUGCUGGAGAUAAGGUGGGGCAGAGCCUCGAACCUGCACAGCUCAGUGUGCCGCUGGCCCUCUGCCAGGGCUGGACCGGCUCCUUGGAGGGCAGCCCAGCUGCUCCAAGCUGUGAAGCAGCCACCAGGUCUCACCCUUGACGUGGUGGUCGGUGCGGCUGCGCGGUGCUUCUGGGCAGAACCGUGCCUCUGGGGGUCCGCGGGGCGUAGGGCCCUGGAGACGCUGGCUGCUCUGUGGGGCUGGUGACUGCUGUGACUCCCACUUCCUGUUGGCUUUGGUGGGAUCCUCCUGCCUUUCAUUGUCAGCUCUUGUCCCUGUCUGGAAUGUCGUCACCUGUCAUUGCUCUCACAGUCCAGUGUCUUUUCCUGGGGUGCAGCCCGGGUCGUCUCUUCUGCAGACAGGACCUGGUCCGCCCGAGCCCGCUGCAGCCCCCAUGGGUCACUCAUUGUGGUUCCCUCUGCAUGGUGAGGGGCCCCAACCCCCAUCGCCCAGCACCUUGUUGGUGAUGUGUGCUCACGUGUUCUAGUUCACUUAUGUGUCAAGCGUGCCCUGAGCCCUCUGUGUCCCAGGCCCUGAGGACGCAGGCGUGAACAAGCACACGCGGCUCACAGAGCCCGCCGUGGAGGGAGGCGGAGGAGGAAAGGGUGAGCGAGUGGGUGCCCUCCAGUGCAUGGACAGCGAGGAAAGUGGAGGCGGAAGAGCGAGGCUGGGGACGGGAACGUGCUGUGGAAGCUGCCUUAGAGGGUGGCCCUGGAGUGACGCCUACGCAGCAGCCACUGUGCCGUGCUGGAGCCUGAGGACAGCGGAGGGGCCGCAGCAGGGACGAGCUCUCCUGUGAGGGGCUCAGGGCCAGCCUGACUGCAGGGAAGUUUGAGCCCUGGGGAAGGGGAAGUGGGGGUCCCUGGGAGGCUGGGUCACGGGCAGGUGAGGACCUGAGGUGUCCAGAGAGCCAGCGUGAGCACGGCAGAGGCUCCAUCUUGUUGUAUGAAGGGUUAUUCAGAGCAGUUAACACUCUGGCUUAGUGAAAAAGUGUGAUUUUGACUCACACAGUCCUACCCUGGCGCCAGGCUCCUGGGCGCUGCCUCCAGGGGUGCUGCAGGUACCCAGGUGUGGCCCCCGCCACUGGAGGCUGAGGUACAGGGCCUGAGUUCCUGCAGAGACAAGAGCUGGGGAGGAGAGACGCUCUUAGUGACGCAGGCUCCUGUCCCAUUGGCAAGGAGUGUCACAUGCCCAGGCUGACUGCAAGGGAGGCUGGGAAAUGCCCUCGUCCCUGUGCCCAUGGCAUUGCCUGCCCUAACUCUGUGGCUGUCUGGGGAACAGCAGGGGACAGUACUUGGAAAUCAGAGCACCUAAGGUUCCCUCGAGACCAAAUGUUGGCCACCAUGGGUGCCCUUGGCUGGGCUACAAGGUUGCCAACCUCACUGUUGUGAAGAAGUUGGUGGGUCCCUCUGAGGUUCCCAUCAGAGGAAGUCAGAGAGUGCCACUGACCUGCCAAAAGACACAGAGCACAAGAGACAGGACCAGGACCCAACUCUCACUCAGCGGCGCUGGCCAUCACUUUUACUUCCACCAACACGUCGAGUCAAUGGAGCCCAAGGGACGUCCACCAGGCAGGACAGGCAGAAAGGCAGAUCAAAGGGCUGAGAGAGUAGGGCUUGGGAGAAGGAGGCCUCAGGAAGGCCCUGACCUGGCAUGGGACUCUGGCAAGACACUCACCUCCUAGAACCUUGGUUUUGUGACAUGUUAAGUGGGAAAGAUAAAGUUGGAUUAACUCAGCAAAACCAACAGCAAUGAAGUCCUUGGGUUUCACAGAGGCACCUCUUGUGCCAGGGGUCCCCGGCUAGUACCCUGCAUGGGGCCUUCUCGCUCAUGGGGACCGAGGACAGAGGCUUCUGCCCUGUGGUCAGGGGUCCCCGGGUUUCUGGGCCUGCUGGUGGAUGGGCAGAAAGGCUGUGUGGAGGAGCCUUUCCAAAAGCCCUGCCCAGAAUGUAGCCCGUCAGCUCUGUCCAUCUGCCAUUGGCAGAAAUCAGUCACAUGACCACUCGGGAGCCAGGGGGACCAGAAACUGUCAUCCCUGGUGGGCAGCAACACCGGCCAAUCCCCAUGAAGGACAGGACACACCGUUCCUGGCAGGCAAGCGGCCACUGCUGCUGUUUCACGGGCCUCUUGCUGCGGUGACUAGAAGACUCGCCCAGCACUACUGCCGAGGAGGGAAGGUGUAUUUGGGGCUCACAGUCGCAGAGGUCUCCGUCCAGGAUAGUCAGCCCCAUUCCUCAGGGCUCAAGGUGAGGCAGGACACCAUGGGGGAAGAGUGUGGUGCGGGGAGCAGAAGCAGAGAGAGAGCUCUCCGUUUGCCAGAUACAGAUAUACACCCAAAGCCACGUCCAGGGCCCCUCCUCAGCUCCCGCCCAGUGAAUCCCAUCCAUGGGGAUUAAUUCACUGAUUGGGUUAAGACUCUCACAACCCAACUGCUUCUCCUCUGAACCCUCUCACGUUGUCUCACACGAACUUUUGGGGACACCUCAUCCAAGCCGUGACACCUGCCACCAUCACAUCUUGCUGGUGGCUGUGAAGCUCUAGCCUGGCAACGAUCGUGAAGCCCGACCAGGGGCCCUCGGCCAGGCAGACGCUGUCACCCAGUUAGGCUCCGAGUCAGCUCCUUCCGUAUCCACGCAUGCUUCACAACUAAGUUCCCGUCUCCUCCAGCCUCGGUUUCCUCUUGUGUGAAAAUGGGGAGGGUGACAUCUGUUUUAAGGAUGAGUUUAGGGAUUAAGUACACAACAUCUGGAAAGCACCUGCCGUGAUUGAUGGCUCUGCUCUGGUGGUCAAGGCCCAGGGAGCAGCCGUGCUAGUGGUAGGCCCUGUUCAAACCGUGAGCUGAGAGGAAGGGCCACUCUUCUGUGUGCUCAUGUUUUAGGCAGCUUCUGUGUCACUGUGACAAACGACCAAGGAGGAAAAGUUCGCUUUGGUUCAUGGUUUCAGAGCUUCCGUUGGUGAUCGGCAGACUCCCGAGAGCUGGGUCUGAGGCGGGGUGGAACCUCAAGGUGGAGGGCAGCAGCUCAGGACACCGCAACCAGGAAGCAAGGGCACUCCCCUCGCCAGGGGUAAUGUGUCAACCCAGAGGCCCGCCCCGGGGACCCUGUCCUGCGCUCGCCUACCGCUUGCCUACAGUUCCCCCCCCGCCCCCCCGUUCAUCCAUGUCGUGACUCCAUCGUGUCCUUGCACCCUCAGACGUGAGCUCUGGGGACACCUCGGAUCUAAACCUUAGCAUCUCGCUAUGAUCAUGGCCGUUCACUUGUGUCCGCCUCAGUUUUCAAAUCUCUGAUGUGGGAAAGCAACAGAAGCUGGAGGGGGAGAUGCUCUUCCCUUCUGCUAACGUGGCAGAGCCCACGGGUUAUAUUUCUGCCCCAGUCCUCAGGCCUGCAGGAUCUCACUGGAAUCUGGGCAGAAAAAAUAAUAAUACAAAUGUGUGGUAGAUGGAGUUAAUUCUGCAUGCACAAGGCAGAGCAAAAACAGGGCAGACUCACCUCCUUAAACAGCGCUGUGCCUAAUGGGGAUUCACUGCCCCUCCCCGUUUCCUCAUGCCACGGGAUCUCACUGAUCCAUAUGGAGGCCUGGAAGGGAAUGCUGAUGAGGAGAGUGGGGAUGCGCGCCUCUCCUGGUCCUGCUCAGGAUGCCAGCCGACUGUGCGUGUGUACCUGUUACCGACCGGCCGGCCGGCACUCCUGCUCCAUCUGCUGCAGCACUUGGAUUUGGAAGCUGGGAAAGGUCUCACUGUUUGUGGUUCUGUGGACCAGGAGGCUGUAGUGUAUCCACAGACAAUGGAUGAACAAAUGCCUAAUGCCCAGGGACUGCGAGAGCGCCCUGGGGCCAGGUUCUGGAUGGCCCUGAGCCUCCCCAGGGUGGUGUCCUGGCCCUGGGCCUGACCCUCCUGCAGGGGCACCAUACCUAGGGCUGGAGGGGGUGGGUUGAACUCAGGCUCCCUGAGUAUGGCUCCCCCAGGCGCCUGGCCCAUCACUGAAAUCAACCAUCCCCAGAGCCCUGGGAUGCCGCCUCCUUCCACCUACCCCCAUCCUCGGCUCUCCCUCACACACAGGACUGGGGCCAGGGCAGGAGCCCCUGCAAAGGGUUUCCUGCUGCUGCCCCCUGCAGUUUCCCCUUCCACAGUGGCCCUGGGGAGAUCACGCUCCUUGAGGAAAUCAACACCCACCUGUCCUGCUCUCACCUGUCCUCUGCCCCCGCCCCCCUGCCCCAAGGCUUACAGCUCAGUGAAGGGCAGCUGGAGGUAGAGGGCCAGAGGCCGCCAUGUGUGGCGGGUCCUGACGUGGGGAGGCCCAGCACCUCCAGCACUCGGUGGACAGAGGAGGAGGCUCCCAGGCCAGCGAGUGGAGCUGGGGGGCUGGGAAAACGCAUGAGGGGCUGACGGG